GACGAACGCUGGCGGCGUGCUUAACACAUGCAAGUCGAGCGGUAAGGCCCUCGGGUACGACGAGCGGCGAACGGGUGAGUAACACGUGGGUGACCUGCCUCUAGCUCUGGGAUAAGCCUGGGAAACGUGGGUCUAAUACCGGAUAUGACUCCACGGCGCAUGUUGUGGGGUGGAAAGCCUUGUGUGGCUAGAGAUGGGCCCGCGGCCUAUCAGCUUGUUGGUGGGGUGAUGGCCUACCAAGGCGACGACGGGUAGCCGGCCUGAGAGGGCGACCGGCCACACUGGGACUGAGACACGGCCCAGACCU
Molecule: ribosomal RNA, 307 nt
Filed under: uncultured bacterium
Lineage: Bacteria
Description: bacterial SSU rRNA
Rfam family: Bacterial small subunit ribosomal RNA
Source: RNAcentral